AGUGAACGCUGGCGGUAGGCCUAACACAUGCAAGUCGAACGGCAGCACAGUAAGAGCUUGCUCUUACGGGUGGCGAGUGGCGGACGGGUGAGGAAUACAUCGGAAUCUACUUUUUCGUGGGGGAUAACGUAGGGAAACUUACGCUAAUACCGCAUACGACCUACGGGUGAAAGCAGGGGAUCUUCGGGCCUUGCGCGAUUGAAUGAGCCGAUGUCGGAUUAGCUAGUUGGCGGGGUAAAGGCCCACCAAGGCGACGAUCCGUAGCUGGUCUGAGAGGAUGAUCAGCCACACUGGAACUGAGACACGGUCCAGACUACUACGGGAGGCAGCAGUGGGGAAUAUUGGACAAUGGGCGCAAGCCUGAUCCAGCCAUACCGCGUGGGUGAAGAAGGCCUUCGGGUUGUAAAGCCCUUUUGUUGGGAAAGAAGAGCAGCAGGUUAAUACCCCGCUGUUCUGACGGUACCCAAAGAAUAAGCACCGGCUAACUUCGUG
RNAcentral lists this ribosomal RNA (492 nucleotides) under uncultured bacterium. RNAcentral's name for it is "partial 16S ribosomal RNA". It matches the Rfam family "Bacterial small subunit ribosomal RNA", at positions 29 to 507 of the family's 1533-position model. The record is from RNAcentral.